This is a long non-coding RNA of Poecilia latipinna (sailfin molly), 591 nucleotides long. RefSeq lists it as uncharacterized. The transcript has 2 exons. NCBI's taxonomy places the organism in Eukaryota, Metazoa, Chordata, Actinopteri, Cyprinodontiformes, Poeciliidae. The record is from RefSeq and is a predicted model, not a curated record.
CCGUACGCGUACGUGCCGUUUGGACUCGGCCCACGUAACUGUGUCGGGAUGCGAUUCGCCAUCCUGGUCAUGAAGAUGGUCAUCGUGCGCAUCCUGCAGAAGUACUCUGUGGAAAAGUGCAGCGACACCUUGGUCCCAAUUCAGUUUGACUUUAGGUUCCAACCUACCAAGCCUCUGGUGGUGAAAUUUGUUCCCAGAGAACUAUAAUGGAAGACUUAUUAAUUUUUUUUUUAAUAAUCUGGAUGGAUGAUUGCUUCUGAAUGUUGUGUAAUUCAAUCACUGCUGAGAGAUCAUGUAACUUGGCUGUGCUUUCUAAAGUCCGUCUUUGUUGGCUGUCGUGAAUAGCGGACACAGACAAAAUGUUGCAGUUAUUUCAGUUUUUGAGGUGAAGGCCACUGUGUGUGUGUGUGUGUGUGUGUGUGUGUGUGUGUGUGUGUGUACAGUGCCCUGCAAAAAGUGUUCACACUUCUAGCAUUUCUUCAAAAUAUGCAAAGCUAAAAUCACAAACUUUCAUAUGGAUGUUGAACAUUGAUGUGAAUGAGCAACACAAAGCGAUAUUUAAUGUGCAGCGGAAAAUUAAAAAAAUCAAUG